RNAcentral lists this ribosomal RNA (918 nucleotides) under Enterococcus faecalis. Its description in RNAcentral is "bacterial SSU rRNA". It matches the Rfam family "Bacterial small subunit ribosomal RNA", at positions 40 to 919 of the family's 1533-position model. Lineage: Bacteria; Bacillati; Bacillota; Bacilli; Lactobacillales; Enterococcaceae. The record is from RNAcentral.
CGGCGAGCUGACUAUACAUGCAAGUCGAACGCUUCUUUCCUCCCGAGUGCUUGCACUCAAUUGGAAAGAGGAGUGGCGGACGGGUGAGUAACACGUGGGUAACCUACCCAUCAGAGGGGGAUAACACUUGGAAACAGGUGCUAAUACCGCAUAACAGUUUAUGCCGCAUGGCAUAAGAGUGAAAGGCGCUUUCGGGUGUCGCUGAUGGAUGGACCCGCGGUGCAUUAGCUAGUUGGUGAGGUAACGGCUCACCAAGGCCACGAUGCAUAGCCGACCUGAGAGGGUGAUCGGCCACACUGGGACUGAGACACGGCCCAGACUCCUACGGGAGGCAGCAGUAGGGAAUCUUCGGCAAUGGACGAAAGUCUGACCGAGCAACGCCGCGUGAGUGAAGAAGGUUUUCGGAUCGUAAAACUCUGUUGUUAGAGAAGAACAAGGACGUUAGUAACUGAACGUCCCCUGACGGUAUCUAACCAGAAAGCCACGGCUAACUACGUGCCAGCAGCCGCGGUAAUACGUAGGUGGCAAGCGUUGUCCGGAUUUAUUGGGCGUAAAGCGAGCGCAGGCGGUUUCUUAAGUCUGAUGUGAAAGCCCCCGGCUCAACCGGGGAGGGUCAUUGGAAACUGGGAGACUUGAGUGCAGAAGAGGAGAGUGGAAUUCCAUGUGUAGCGGUGAAAUGCGUAGAUAUAUGGAGGAACACCAGUGGCGAAGGCGGCUCUCUGGUCUGUAACUGACGCUGAGGCUCGAAAGCGUGGGGAGCAAACAGGAUUAGAUACCCUGGUAGUCCACGCCGUAAACGAUGAGUGCUAAGUGUUGGAGGGUUUCCGCCCUUCAGUGCUGCAGCAAACGCAUUAAGCACUCCGCCCUGGGGGAGUACGACCGCAAGGUUGAAACUCAAGAAGAAAUAGUAAACGGGGA